Molecule: long non-coding RNA, 719 nt
Filed under: Gallus gallus (chicken)
Lineage: Eukaryota; Metazoa; Chordata; Aves; Galliformes; Phasianidae
Source: RNAcentral
GAAUGAUAUCCUGUAGGUAGCUACCAUUUUGUUUUCAUCAGUGGCAAGAGGCGAGAGCUUCUUCAAAUGUCAGGCAUCACAGUUGUUCAUUUGGCCUUUGUCCAGUAUGCUGCCGCCUUGUGCUUCAGCUUGCUUUUGGUUUUAUCACCCAUUCUGCCUGAGGAUUUGCACGGUAAACAUCUAACAUGUAUGCAUCUGGAUCCAAACAGUGCUGACCUAUAUUUCCUCCAACUUCAUGUAAACUUUGGAUCUGGCUUCUCACAUUCUGUGACAAUCCACGGCUGUUUUCACAGUGGAAUCGAGCCAGGAUGUCUUUGGCUUUUGUUUGGCUGUUGAGUUGAAUUGCCAUAGAGACUUUUGAAUGCAAUGGUGCAUAAACUCUUAUCACCCCCUCGGGUAUGUCAGACUGCAGGUAUGGGGGAAAAGUGACAGCUCCCUCUGGUCUUUCAGGUCUCUCUCUCUCCAUGGUCUUUCUCCUUAGAAGUUUUCUCACUCCUUUGUCAAACAUCAGCUGCCUCUUGCUGUUGUUUAUUGCUGCCUCAUUCAUUUUCCUCACCUGGGAAAUCAGGAAGGAUGGAACUGUCCACAGGAUAUCCUGGUACCGAAUUAAAAGCCGUACAAUGUGUGCAGUGGUGGCAGCUGCUUGCAUUUCUUGUUGGUUUGCACGUUUCCCUUUGUAGAUGAAGAGGUUUGGUGCAACAAUCAUAGAAACAUUCCAC